UACGAAGGGUGCAAGCGUUAACCGGAAUUACUGGGCGUAAAGCGUGCGUAGGUGGUUUGUUAAGUCUGCUGUGAAAGCCCUGGGCUCAACCUGGGAAUGGCGGUGGAUACUGACAAGCUAGAGUGCGGUAGAGGAGGGUGGAAUUCCCGGUGUAGCGGUGAAAUGCGUAGAGAUCGGGAGGAACAUCAGUGGCGAAGGCGGCCCUCUGGACCAGCACUGACGCUGAGGCACGAAAGCGUGGGGAGCAAACAGG
RNAcentral lists this ribosomal RNA (253 nucleotides) under uncultured bacterium. RNAcentral describes it as "partial 16S ribosomal RNA". It matches the Rfam family "Bacterial small subunit ribosomal RNA", at positions 524 to 776 of the family's 1533-position model. The record is from RNAcentral.